UGGCGGGGUGCCUAAUACAUGCAAGUCGAGCGGACUUUUCCAAGGAGCUUGCUUCGCGGAAAGGUUAGCGGCGGACGGGUGAGUAACACGUAGGCAACCUGCCCACAAGACCGGGAUAACAUUCGGAAACGAAUGCUAAGACCGGAUAUGCAGCUUCCUCGCAUGGGGGAGUUCAUGAAACACGGUGCAAGCUGUGGCUUGUGGAUGGGCCUGCGGCGCAUUAGCUAGUUGGUGGGGUAACGGUCACCAAGGCGACGAUGCGUAGCCGACCUGAGAGGGUGAACGGCCACACUGGGACUGAGACACGGCCAGACUCCUACGGGAGGCAGCAGUAGGGAAUCUUCCACAAUGGGCGCAAGCCUGAUGGAGCAACGCCGCGUGAGUGAGGAAGGCCCUCGGGUCGUAAAGCUCUGCUGCCAGGGAAGAAUAAGCAUAUGUUAACUGCAUAUGCGAUGACGGUACCUGAGAAGAAAGCCCCGGCUAACUACGUGCCAGCAGCCGCGGUAAUACGUAGGGGGCAAGCGUUGUCCGGAAUUAUUGGGCCGUAAAGCGCUGCGCAGGCGG
Molecule: ribosomal RNA, 564 nt
Filed under: uncultured bacterium
Lineage: Bacteria
Description: bacterial SSU rRNA
Rfam family: Bacterial small subunit ribosomal RNA
Source: RNAcentral